This is a long non-coding RNA of Nomia melanderi (Alkali bee), 2814 nucleotides long. RefSeq lists it as uncharacterized. The record is from RefSeq and is a predicted model, not a curated record. NCBI's taxonomy places the organism in Eukaryota, Metazoa, Arthropoda, Insecta, Hymenoptera, Halictidae.
AUGUCGGUGAGCGGAUUGGCGGAUCUGUCGUCGGCAAAAAGCGGUGCCCCUCUGAAGCCGACUGGCCUUUUGAUCUUUGCUGUCAGCAAAUCAGCGGCUGAUCCUGCGCCGCUGCACUGAAUGUCAGAGACCUCGUAAUCCUGGGCAACGGUGGCGGCAACCUGAAACAAUACCACCGUCAUUCAUCUGCACGGUUUUGCCACGGUAACAUUCGCGACGUCUCCGUGUACGAUUCUUCAUCGUUCCCGUCCGCAGAGUUUGUUUCCCUAAUUUCGGCAAUGCUAUCCGGCACAAGAGACUCAACGUACAAUCAUCGACUAAUCGGUCCCCCAUAAUCAGAGAUGAUUCGUCCAGCGAUAAAUUCUUUCUUAAGUAUCCAGCGCCGCCGAGGGACAGACGGUUGUUCCGCGUUUAUCGCGGUGUCUACUGUGGCGUUGCCUUCGAUAUGAAACAAGGUGACCAACACGCGUGGAGAGUAGACUUCAAUUCGAAUAACGGUGUAAAGAAACGCUCUGAUGCCCACCUAAGAUAUUCGUUAUGCGUACCAUACAGGUUACCCAUCGUGCGGUCAGCCAGACGAGUAACAGUGGUAUAGGUCAUGGUUACUUCCUCAAGGCAACUCCUAUUCGUUCGGUGAACGAGAAGGCCAACGAGAAGAAAUUCGAUUGAAACAGCGAAUAGUAAUGGAAUUAAUUAUGUCUGUGGUAAUAAUAAGAAAUUCGAUGGAACAACAGCAGAAGCACAAAGGAGAACCAUUUAAUAUUUAAUGAAUAUGUUAUUUAGUAAUUAUUUAAGUGAAUUUUACAUUUUGAAAACCAUUAGCAUAACAAUGUUUUAAAACUCAUUAAAUAUAUAUCUGUUCGAAUGAUAUUAUUGCUAUUUUUAAUACAAUUAUAAUAAUUUCAUCAAUCUUUCUUUUAUGAAAAUCAAUUUCCCAGUUCAGGACAAAAAAUUGUACUUUAUGGUGCCCAUACAAGAGGUACUAAUUUAAUUUACAAUAAUCACUUCAUUCGCAGGCAUAACGACUUCCAGAGUUAAGUUAAUGGACAGCUUAAAAUUAAAUUAUUCAAAUAUGAUCACGAUUGAAUUUAUUUGCAGUGAAAGAACUUGAUAGUUGAUCGUUGUAAUUGUUUCAUAAAAGUGUAAUGACAAACGAGAACGUUUUUGUUUUAUUGUUAUGUUAUUCGACACGACAUAGUCAUCAUUUGCUGCCCUAGUUGCUUGGUAUGUCUGCGGUGAAACUGAAGUUAGUGAUAAAAUCGAAAUUGCAUCUAAUAAAAAGUGAUUGCCUAUUUCAACAUUUCUUAAAUUCUUUUUCAACAUUUUUUAAAUAGCGAUAAUUCCAUUCAAACAGAUACAUGUUCAAUGAGUUUGAAAAAAUUGUUAUUUCAAUGAUCUUCAAAAUGUUAAAAGUAUAAUUAUAAAUAAUUGCUAAAUAACAUAUUCAUUAAAUAUUAAAUAAUUCUUCUUUACUGUAUGCAACCACACAUAAUGUUCGCUUUUAUUGCUGAUUACGUAACUCAAUGUAUUUCAUUGAGAUCGAACAACGUAUAUCUCAGGUAGAACAAUUUUAUAAGGUUGAUGAUCUCUAAUUUAGAAAGUCUCGUGGACCAAUGUAUGCGAGACGCUGUAUCAUUAAAAUCAUUAUUAUUGUGUUAUAAACAGCGAUAAUUCCAUUCAAACAGAUACAUGUUCAAUGAGUUUGAAAAAAUAGUUAUUUCAAAUAACAUAUUCAUUAAAUAUUAAAUAAUUCUUUACUGUAUGUAAGCACACAUAAUGUUCGCUUUUAUUGCUGACUAUGUAACUUAACGUAUUUCAUUGAGAUCGAACAACGUAUAUCCGAGGUGGAACAAUUUUAUAAGGUUGAUGAUCUCUAUAAUUUAGAUAGUCUCGUGGACCAAUGUAUGCGAGACGCGUGAACGUCGAUAGAUUUUAAUGACACAGGUAUGCGCGAAGGAACACACAAAGUGGCACACGUAUGUGUCCACGAGUCGAUUCGAUUGACGCCCGGUAACUUAACGGGAAGAGAGAAACAACCGAAAUCUGUUACGUAAAACGGGCCCCCUCCGUUCGAAUCGUCUCUCCAGAUUGCCUCCUGGAUAACUAUGUAUGUAUACACGAACAUUUUUUCCCGUUUCGUACAGGAGAACCGCAACCGUGCCUUUACGACGCCAUAAAUUGCGCACUUUUUUUCCUAUUCGGCGGAAUGACAUCGCAUCGACUAUACGCGAGCUAUUCUGUAGCGUUAAUGUUCCCAGCAACUUUAACGCACAAUUUUUAUUCGGCGUGUACGCGAUUUACGGACUUUCAGUCGAUUUUUAGGCUUGCUCUUGUUAUAACGAGAAAAUUUGUACCGCUCUGUUGCUCGUGAUACAAAUGUCUCGUGUAAUCAUAGAGAAGAAAAUGUAUUUUUCGAUUGAAAUUAGUUUAUAAAUGAGUGUUAAUACUUUUAGCACUAUGUCACCCCCAUAUGAGUGACAAAUUUUUGCUCUGAAACGAAACAUUAAUGUUAACGUUUAUAACAGAAUAUUAAAGGGUUUAGUUCAGUUGAAGUCCAUGAACAUUUUUACUAGUUUCAGGAGUGUUGUUAUUAAAGGAUAUAAUUUAAUAGGAUCCAUGGGGGAUCUACAGUAAAAUAAAUAAUGUUCAAGUCGAGAAAAAUUGAUUCGAUGCAGGUUAAAAUUCCUGGCAACUUUUUAUAUAUACAAUUUUUCGGUCUAUAUAAAAUCGUUUUUAGAUUUAACGAUCGAUGAUGACAGGUUCAUAAACCUUAUUAGGAAACUGUUAAUUGAUUCUAAAUAAAAAGCAGUAUAA